Non-coding RNA from Canis lupus familiaris (dog), 540 nucleotides. The record is from the annotation of a RefSeq genome assembly. NCBI's taxonomy places the organism in Eukaryota, Metazoa, Chordata, Mammalia, Carnivora, Canidae.
AUGUUGGAGAAUUUGAACAGCCCUAUGCAGAAGAAUGAGACUGGUCCAGGUCCUUACACCAGACACACAAGUGAACUGAAAAUGGAUGAAAUACCUAUAUGUGAGAAAGGAAUCCAUCAGAACCCUGACAGUAACCUCCCUGAUAUUGUCCAGACCAAAGUCUUACAAGACAUUUUUCCAAAGGUUUUCCUUGUUGCUAUUUUAAAAGGUGUCCAGGGUGAGUUGCAGCUGGUAGAGUCUGGGGGAGACCUGGUGAAGCCUGGGGGGUCUCUGAGACUUUCUUGUGUGUCCUCUGGAUUCACCUUCAGUAGCUACUGGAUGCACUGGGUCCUCCAGGCUCCAGGGAAAAGGCUGGAGUGGGUCGCAAUUAUUAACAGUGGUGGAGGUAGCAUAUACUACGCAGACACAGUGAAGGGCCGAUUCACCAUCUCCAGAGAAAACGCCAAGAACACGCUCUAUCUGCAGAUGAACAGCCUGAGAGCUGAGGACAGGGCCAUGCAUUACUGUGCGAAGGGACACAGCGAGGGGACCUCAGUGUGA